Molecule: long non-coding RNA, 582 nt
Organism: Ricinus communis (castor bean)
Lineage: Eukaryota; Viridiplantae; Streptophyta; Magnoliopsida; Malpighiales; Euphorbiaceae
Exons: 2
Source: RefSeq, a predicted model, not a curated record
UCGGUUUAUUUGAAUUUCUUAAGACGUUAGUGAAUGCUGACAUGGCAUGAUACCAGUGUAGCUAGUAAAAAUACCCAAAAAUCUAACCACCAAAUCCCUAAAAAUGAAAAAAACCCUAAAAAAUUCCUAAGAUGUCAGUUGCGAAUCUGUGUUUGUGCAUAUAACCCCUAAGAAGACCUUUAAAAUACUAUUGAAACCAAUAUUUACUGCUAUUGUAAGGAUAAAUCGAGGGUUCAAUAAUAGAAAGAAGGGAACUGAGACAGCCAACUGCUACAACCAAUACAAAUGGAAGUGUAUUCAACCCACCAGUUCAAAAUUUUGGAUCCCAAGCUUCCACAACUACCUUUGUGGGUACUCCUACACAUCUAUCUGUUGCACCAUGUGUUGGACCACUAAGAAAUGAAGCAACAACAGCAAGCUUAGGUGGAAGAUGUGUAAGAAAAACUAGAAAUAAGAAUGUUGGAUAAGGGGUUCAUGUUGAUUUGACUACUGGAAGAACAAUAUAUAAUGUGAGUUUUUUUAAUGUUGUUGUUUUGUUUACCUUCUUUUUUUGACUUCUUUAUGUAUGUGAGAGUUGAUGUU